UGAUUAAAUUGCUAAGGGCGUAUUGUGAAUGCCUUGGCACUAGAAGCUGAUGAAGGACGCGACAAACAGCGAAAUGCUUCGGGGAGUGGUAAGUACACUUUGAUCCGGAGAUCUCCGAAUGGGGGAACCCACCUAUGGUAAUGCGUAGGUAAUGUAUACUGAAUACAUAGGUAUAUAUAAGCAACCCGGUGAACUGAAACAUCUUAGUAACCGGAGGAAAAGAAAGAAAAAUCGAUUCUCUUAGUAGUGGCGAGCGAAAAGGGAAGAGCCCAAACCAGUCUACGGACUGGGGUUGUAGGACCUUACAUUAAGAGUUAGAAAUUUAUAGCAUAGAUAAACAAGUUGGGAAGCUUGACCGUAGUAGGUGAUAGUCCUGUAAUCAAAAUGCUGUAAACUCUGUAGGGUAUCCUGAGUACGACGAGACACGUGUAAUCUUGUCGGAAUCCGCGGGGACCAUCCCGCAAGGCUAAAUACUCUCUAGUGACCGAUAGUGAACAAGUACCGUGAGGGAAAGGUGAAAAGAACCCCGUGAGGGGAGUGAAAUAGAUUCUGAAACAAUACGCUUACAAGAAGUCAAAGCCCGUUAAUGGGUGAUGGCGUGCCUUUUGCAGAAUGAACCGGCGAGUUAAUUUAUCAUGCAAGGUUAAGUUGAAGAGACGGAGCCGAAGCGAAAGCGAGUCUGAAUAGGGCGAAUUAGUAUGAUGGAUUAGACCCGAAACCGAGUGAUCUAGCCAUGAGCAGGAUGAAGGUUUGGUAACACAAACUGGAGGUCCGAACCAACUAAUUAGGAAACAUUAGUGGAUGACUUGUGGCUAGAGGUGAAAUUCCAAUCGAACUCGGAUAUAGCUGGUUCUCCCCGAAAUAGGUUUAGGCCUAGCCUUGAGUUAAGUUUGUUGAAGGUAGAGCACUGAAUAGGUGAUGGCUCCGUCUAGGGGUACUGAACCUAAUCAAACUCCGAAUGUCAAUAAAUGUUUCUCAGGAGUCAGUGUAUGGGUGAUAACGUCCGUACGCGAGAGGAAAAGAAUCCAGACCGCCAGUUAAGGUCCCAAAAUUUAUGCUAAGUGGGAAAGGAUGUGGAGUUGUCAAAACAGCUAGGAGGUUUGCUCAGAAGCAGCCAUCCUUUAAAGAGUGCGUAAUAGCUCACUAGUCGAAUGACACUGCGCCGAAGAUGUACCGGGGCUAAGCAUAAUACCGAAACUGCGGAUUCAAAUAUUUAUAUUUGUCUGGUAGGGGAGCGUUCUAAAUGCGCUGAAGAUAGAUCGUGAGGACUGUUGGAGCGUUUAGAAGUGAGAAUGCCGGUGUGAGUAGCGCAAGCUGGGUGAGAAUCCCGGCCACCGUUUGCCUAAAGGUUCCUGGGGCAGGUUCGUCCACCCAGGGUAAGUCAGGACCUAAGAUGAGGCUGAAAAGCGUAGUCGAUGGACAACAGGUUGAUAUUCCUGUACCACCUAUAUAACAGAUGGAAUGACAAAGAAGGCUAGAUUGAGCCAGUUAAUGGAUUCUGGUCUAAGCACAAAGACUGAUAUAUUGGAAAAUCCGUAUAUCGCUUCAGUUGAAGUGUGAUGGUGAAGGAGACUUCGGUCUUCGAAAUCAAUUGACGCCAAGCUUUCAAGAAAAGUUUCUAUGGUUAAUUAUAUAGGUGCCUGUACUGAGAACCGACACAGGUGGGCAAGGAGAAUAUCCUAAGGUGAGCGAGAGAACUAUGGUUAAGGAACUCGGCAAAAUGACCCCGUAACUUCGGGA
Molecule: ribosomal RNA, 1740 nt
Filed under: Ignavibacteria bacterium
Lineage: Bacteria; Pseudomonadati; Ignavibacteriota; Ignavibacteria
Description: partial 23S ribosomal RNA
Rfam family: Bacterial large subunit ribosomal RNA
Source: RNAcentral